This 63-nucleotide transfer RNA is filed under the name Pachydactylus griffini. RNAcentral describes it as "tRNA-Cys". Lineage: Eukaryota; Metazoa; Chordata; Lepidosauria; Squamata; Gekkonidae. The record is from RNAcentral.
AAGCCCCGGCACCGACUUAGGUGCGUCUUCGAACUUGCAUUUCAACGUGCUGCCACCGCGGGG